This 478-nucleotide ribosomal RNA is filed under the name uncultured bacterium. Its description in RNAcentral is "partial 16S ribosomal RNA". It matches the Rfam family "Bacterial small subunit ribosomal RNA", at positions 28 to 507 of the family's 1533-position model. The record is from RNAcentral.
GACGAACGCUGGCGGCGUGCUUAACACAUGCAAGUCGAACGGGAUUUAGUAGACAGAAGCCUCGGCUAAAGAUUACUAAUGAGAGUGGCGAACGGGUGAGUAACGCGUGAGCAACCUGCCUAUGACAGUGGGAUAGCCUCGGGAAACCGGGAUUAAUACCGCAUAAAAUCGUAGAAACACAUGUUUUAACGGUCAAAGAUUUAUCGGUCAUAGAUGGGCUCGCGUCUGAUUAGCUAGUUGGUGAGAUAACAGCCCACCAAGGCGACGAGCAGUAGCCGGUCUGAGAGGAUGAACGGCCACAUUGGAACUGAGACACGGUCCAAACUCCUACGAGAGGCAGCAGUUGGGAAUAUUGCACAAUGGGGGAAACCCUGAUGCAGCGACGCCGCGUGAACGAAGAAGGUAUUCGUAUCGUAAAGUUCUGUCCUAUGGGAAGAUAAUGACAGUACCAUAGAAGAAAGCUCCGGCUAAAUACGUG